AGACAAUGGUUCCUGUAACGGGAUGAAAAGGGAAUCCGGUCAAGUCGGAAGGACGAUUCCGGAGCUGCCCCCGCAACUGUAUACGGUAGUGUGCACCUGUAAACCACUGGGUAACCGGGAAGGAAGGUGUUUCGCAAUGAUCCGCAAGCCAGGAGACCUGCCAUUGAUGAUU
Molecule: non-coding RNA, 172 nt
Filed under: uncultured Oxalobacter sp.
Lineage: Bacteria; Pseudomonadati; Pseudomonadota; Betaproteobacteria; Burkholderiales; Oxalobacteraceae
Source: RNAcentral